UGCCAGCCGCCGCGGUAACACGGGGGGCGCAAGCGUUAUUCGGAAUUAUUGGGCGUAAAGCGUCCGUAGGCGGUUUUUUAAGUCUGUGGUUAAAUCCCAGGGCUCAACCCUGGAAUCGUCAUAGAAACUAUUGAACUUGAGGUAUGAAGGGGCAGAUGGAAUUCCAGAAGUAGGGGUAAAAUCCGUAGAUCUCUGGAGGAACGCCGGAGGCGAAAGCGACUAUCUGGGCCAUAACUGACGCUGAUGUGCGAAAGCUAGGGGAGCAAACGGGAUUAGAUA
This 279-nucleotide ribosomal RNA is filed under the name uncultured bacterium. Its description in RNAcentral is "partial 16S ribosomal RNA". It matches the Rfam family "Bacterial small subunit ribosomal RNA", at positions 506 to 784 of the family's 1533-position model. The record is from RNAcentral.